AUUGAACGCUGGCGGCAGGCCUAACACAUGCAAGUCGAGCGGAUGAAGGGAGCUUGCUCCUGGAUUCAGCGGCGGACGGGUGAGUAAUGCCUAGGAAUCUGCCUGGUAGUGGGGGAUAACGUCCGGAAACGGGCGCUAAUACCGCAUACGUCCUGAGGGAGAAAGUGGGGGAUCUUCGGACCUCACGCUAUCAGAUGAGCCUAGGUCGGAUUAGCUAGUUGGUGGGGUAAAGGCCUACCAAGGCGACGAUCCGUAACUGGUCUGAGAGGAUGAUCAGUCACACUGGAACUGAGACACGGUCCAGACUCCUACGGGAGGCAGAAGUGGGGAAUAUUGGACAAUGGGCGAAAGCCUGAUCCAGCCAUGCGGCGUGUGUGAAGAAGGUCUUCGGAUUGUAAAGCACUUUAAGUUGGGAGGAAGGGCAGUAAGUUAAUACCUUGCUGUUUGGACGUUACCAACAGAAUAAGCACCGGCUAACUUCGU
RNAcentral lists this ribosomal RNA (483 nucleotides) under uncultured bacterium. RNAcentral describes it as "partial 16S ribosomal RNA". It matches the Rfam family "Bacterial small subunit ribosomal RNA", at positions 30 to 506 of the family's 1533-position model. The record is from RNAcentral.